UCGCCAAACCGCCUAUCGCAUACCCGAAGCAGUUAAAGAAAAUAUGCGGAAAGAAAUUGAGGAAAUGAUGUAGUUAGGGGUGAUAGAACACUCUGACAGCCCCUGGGCCUCCCCGGUAGUACUAGUACCGAAACAGGGCGGCACUACCGGAGGCUAAAUGAUAAAACAACCUCAGACGCCUACCCUAUGCCCUGGAUAGAUGAGCUCCUAGACAAAAUGGCCAGAGGCCAGUAUCUCACCACAAUAGAUCUGUGCAAGGGGUACUGGCAAAUUCCAUUAGCCGAGGACGCCAUCCAC
Molecule: non-coding RNA, 297 nt
Organism: Pelobates cultripes (western spadefoot toad)
Lineage: Eukaryota; Metazoa; Chordata; Amphibia; Anura; Pelobatidae
Source: the annotation of a GenBank genome assembly